UAAUUUUAAAAGAAAAAUAUUUCUCUUCUGCUCUAGAAAACCAGAGGAAAAUUCCAAGAAAAACCUCUAACUCAGGAGCAUCUGCAAGAUCUACACUACUCUCCUUCCACCUUUUCCUUUGAUAAUGUUCACCAAUAACCCUGGUUAUCUUCAGCAUUGAUCAUGAUAACUUUGGCCCAUGACCAUUGUUGCAUUGCCCAUUAACACUGGUAAUCUUCACAAUGAAUCAUGGUAACCUGUGCCAGGGCUUUGUCCACAACACUGACAGACUAACAUCUUGGGAUAGAUGACCAAAUGUUUGGUCAAAGAAGGAGGUUACUUUUUUAUUCAUUCAGAGUCACUGCCAAGACCAGCAUUUAUCGCCCAUCUCAGUAAGGAUCGAUUAAAUUGCUGUGGAUCUGGAGUCACAUGUAAGCCAGAACACGUAAGGGUGGCAAAUUCCCUUCCUGCAAGGACUUUAGUGAAAAUGAUGGGUUUUUAAGAUAAUUGACAGCAAGUAACUAGAUGGUCAGCAUUAGGAUAGUUCUUUCUCUCAGAUUUAGUUUUAAUUUAAUUCAAACUUCACCAUAUGCUGUAGUGGAAUUUGAACCUAUGUCAAGGGAAAACAGGUGGAUUUUCUCUUGUUGGAGAUGGCAUUUGUGUGGUGCAAAUGUUACUUUGCCAGUUGUCAGCUCAAACUUCAAUAUUGUCCACAUCUUGCAGCAUUUGGACAUUUACUGCUUCAGCAUCGAAGGAGUCGCGAAUGGUAUUAAACAUUACAUAGUCAUUGAUGAACAUCCCCACUUCUGACCAUCAGACAGUUGGAAGGUCAUUGAUGAAGAGCUGAAGAUAUUUUGGCCAAAAAACACGACCCUGAGAAACUCUGGCAGUGAUGUCCUGGAGCUGACAUGCCUAACCUCCAACAACCACAACUAUCUUCCAAUGUGCCAGGUUGGAUAAUUCCUGUAUGGAUUAUGCUCACCCUUGACAGAGACUGUGGAUUGUCGCAGCUGGAAGGGUGUCAAGGAAUUUCAGAGAAUUAUUUCAAAGGAGAAGGUACAAUGCAAAUGUACGGAACCUCCAAAAGUAGGUGGAGAUGGUCAGGGAGGCAGCUGAAACAGUCAGAUGGACUCUCUCUGAAAACAGAGUGUCUUUGGAGAAAAGGAGGCCCCAUGGGAGGAAGGAGAGACGGAAUCCCUCAACCCAGUGUCAGUGACAGGCUUCGUGCCAUUUUUUCUUCGCCCCCUCCAAAUUUUAACUUCGUAAAGUACCCUACCUGGAGGGAACGGAGAAUGGAGUCCAACACUAGCCUAGUGUGGGAGCCGAGUCGCGACCUGAGCGUCUGAGUUCCGGAAACGAGUUGUGGCCGGUGUGGCAGCAGAACAAGCGCAGGCCGAGUUCCGGAAACGGGCUGUGGCGGGAGUGGGAGCCGAGCGAGCGUGGGGUGAGCUGGGAGCUAGGAGCCGAGUUGCAGCCAUAUCCCGGAGUGGGAGCAGAGCAAGCCCAGGCCGGUUCGGUGAAUGAGUCAUGGAGGCAAGUCUGGGACAGAGGCUGGUUCAUGGAGGCAGUGAGGCCUCGCGUUCUGAAACCCAGCACGCACAGACUCAAUGAGAAAGGACUAUAAGUUGAGUACUUUGAAGACACUUUUUAUUCUCUUUCUGGACUUUUAAACUCUAUUCCCAUGUUAGUCUUUUGUUUUAGUAUUUCAAUUCUGUAACAACACUUAACGUACCUGUACCGAGGUACACUGUACCUAAGAUGGUGCCGAGAGGCGACAUUACAAACUUCUCACUGCACUCAUUCACAUGCAGAUGAUAAUAAAGGCUAUUCUAUUCUGUUCUACUUA
Molecule: long non-coding RNA, 1825 nt
Organism: Rhincodon typus (whale shark)
Lineage: Eukaryota; Metazoa; Chordata; Chondrichthyes; Orectolobiformes; Rhincodontidae
Exons: 3
Source: RefSeq, a predicted model, not a curated record